UACAGGGGGUGCAAGCGUUAUUCGGAAUUACUGGGCGUAAAGAGCGUGUAGGCGGUUUGGUAAGUUUGGUGUGAAAGCCCUGGUCUCAAGCCAGGAAGUGCAUUGAAUACUGCCAGACUAGAGUGCAGGAGAGGUCAGCGGAAUUCCAGGUGUAGAGGUGAAAUUCGUAGAUAUCUGGAGGAACAACAGCGGCGAAGGCGGCUGACUGGACUGUUACUGACGCUAAGGCGCGAAAGCGUGGGGAGCAAACAGG
Molecule: ribosomal RNA, 253 nt
Filed under: uncultured bacterium
Lineage: Bacteria
Description: partial 16S ribosomal RNA
Rfam family: Bacterial small subunit ribosomal RNA
Source: RNAcentral